CUAGGACCACCCAAGUCCAUGAAUAGAAUCGCCCCGGUCGUCAUCUUACCAUAUGGUUACUAUGUGCAUUAUACAUCUUAAAAAAUUUAUGGUAUUUUGGAGUAUAAUAUUUUUUUAACGCUUUUAGCGAUUCAAUUUUUAGUAAAAAAAUAUAAAAAUAAAGAUUUAACAGUUUUGAAAGUCCGAAAUAUCUCCUACUUCAGAUCACUAGAGUUUUUUUUUUUUUUUUUUUUUAUACUUUUACUAAUGAAUAACAUUAUUGUUCAUUAACAUUAGAACGAAAGUGAAUUUACUCCCUUUUUCUGUCUUCGGUUAGUAUUUGUCUAAUAAUUAUGUUUGAUUGACAUAACACUAAGGUUUGAAAAAAAAAAAGAUUAAAAAUUUGAUGGGCCAACUAAUUGUAAUGAUCCUCGUCACUUCAUACGAGCCUUUAUUUAGCAACCGAAUUUUGUUGCGUUAUUAUUAUUUUUUUUCUAACAUUCAGACAAAGAUC
RNAcentral lists this long non-coding RNA (493 nucleotides) under Malus domestica (apple). Its description in RNAcentral is "long non-coding RNA (MDOM_LNC021136)". Lineage: Eukaryota; Viridiplantae; Streptophyta; Magnoliopsida; Rosales; Rosaceae. The record is from RNAcentral.